CACGUAAAGACUACCAUACAGCAGGUAAACGCAGAGUGGUUAUCCCCAUCCUGCUACCACGUAAAGACUACCAUACAGCAGGUAAACGCAGAGUGGUUAUCCCCAUCCUGCUACCACGUAAAGACUACCAUACAGCAGGUAAACGCAGAGUGGUUAUCCCCAUCCUGCUACCACGUAAAGACUACCAUACAGCAGGUAAACGCAGAGUGGUUAUCCCCAUCCUGCUACCACGUAAAGACUACCAUACAGCAGGUAAACGCAGAGUGGUUAUCCCCAUCCUGCUACCACGUAAAGACUACCAUACAGCAGGUAAACGCAGAGUGGUUAUCCCCAUCCUGCUACCACGUAAAGACUACCAUACAGCAGGUAAACGCAGAGUGGUUAUCCCCAUCCUGCUACCACGUAAAGACUACCAUACAGCAGGUAAACGCAGAGUGGUUAUCCCCAUCCUGCUACCACGUAAAGACUACCAUACAGCAGGUAAACGCAGAGUGGUUAUCCCCAUCCUGCUACCACGUAAAGACUACCAUACAGCAGGUAAACGCAGAGUGGUUAUCCCCAUCCUGCUACCGCGUAAAGACUACCAUACAGCAGGUAAACGCAGAGUGGUUAUCCCGAUCCUGCUACCACGUAUAGA
Long non-coding RNA from Oncorhynchus keta (chum salmon), 637 nucleotides. RefSeq lists it as uncharacterized. Lineage: Eukaryota; Metazoa; Chordata; Actinopteri; Salmoniformes; Salmonidae. The record is from RefSeq and is a predicted model, not a curated record. The transcript has 3 exons.